ACGGUGUGGACGCGCCGCAAGGCGUUGAGCUAACGUGUACUAAUGGCCCGUGAGGCUUGACCAUA
This 65-nucleotide ribosomal RNA is filed under the name Halomonas korlensis. RNAcentral's name for it is "23S rRNA. Bacterial LSU". Lineage: Bacteria; Pseudomonadati; Pseudomonadota; Gammaproteobacteria; Oceanospirillales; Halomonadaceae. The record is from RNAcentral.